This 351-nucleotide long non-coding RNA is filed under the name Homo sapiens (human). RNAcentral describes it as "non-protein coding lnc-KDELR3-3:1". The record is from RNAcentral. Lineage: Eukaryota; Metazoa; Chordata; Mammalia; Primates; Hominidae.
AGGAAGACUCCAUCUCAAAAAUCAAUCAAUAAAUAAACAAACAAACUUGUUUUUGCUUUACUCUAUGGACUCACCCCAAAUUCUUUCUUGGGUGAGGUCCAAGAACUCUCUCGGGUCUGGAUUAGGACCCUUUUCUGGUAACAGUAUGUUUCUGUGGCUUGCAACCAAAAGAGUCCUAACCAAUAAACCCUCUUUUUUGAGUGCUCCUCUCCCCUAUAUAGGCCAGAAAUAGACCAGACCUAUGUCUACACUCAAAUGGAGAGUGGAGGACUGGAAAGCCAUGGUCCUUUGCUCACAGGAAACAAAUUGAACCCCGGCCUAGAAAAGCUCAGUGGGCACUGGUGAUUUUCC